AUUGAACGCUGGCGGCAUGCUUUACACAUGCAAGUCGGACGAGUGGCGAACGGGUGAGUAACGCCUCGGAACGUACCGAGUAGUGGGGGAUCACUGUUCGAAAGGACAGCUAAUACCGCAUAUUAUUCGAGCUGCCGAUGGGGGAUUAGCUGGUUGGCGGGGUAAAGGCCCACCAAGGCGACGAUCAGUAGCGGGUCUGAGAGGAUGAUCAGCCACACGGGGAUUGAGAAACGGGCCAGACGCCUACGGGAGGCAGCAGUAGGGAAGUUGGGACAAUGGGCGCAAGCCUGAUCCAGCCAUGCCGCGUGUCUGAAGAAGGCCUUCGGGUUGUAAAGGACUGUUGUCAGGGAAGCGGUACCUGAAGAAUAAGCACCGGCUAACUACGUGCCAGCAGCCGCGGUAAUUC
RNAcentral lists this ribosomal RNA (406 nucleotides) under uncultured bacterium. Its description in RNAcentral is "partial 16S ribosomal RNA". It matches the Rfam family "Bacterial small subunit ribosomal RNA", at positions 30 to 526 of the family's 1533-position model. The record is from RNAcentral.